UGCUGUGGCCGGGCAGACUCAAACAGAAAUUGACAACUCCAGCAUGCAGAGGAGGAGACAAUGGCUUGGAAUCCUUGAGUGUAAUGAAGCUGUGGGUGCCUGGGAAUCCAGAACUCCCUAGAAUAUGGUUCCAAGACUCCCUCUAAAGCUGUUGAGGAUUCUCCCCUUCGUUUGGCCUCCUAGAGGUGGCAUCACGUUCUGCCUGCCUGUGGCAAUCAUGACUGGGAUUGUUACCGGAAUGCACCAAGUACAGGAAGUCAGUACAGCAGCUGGAUGUCUCACGGUGGGCGACGGCCUGAGAAUCUCCUCCUUCCAGCAAGUCAAGCCGAGGAAGGAACACCCCUGCCUGUGCAGUUUGAGAAGCUCAGCCUGGGCACAGGAAUGCUAGGCAAUAUGAUACCUAAGUGCCAUUGAGAACGAAUCAGCCUGAAGAUAUUCUAGUAAGGGAGCUGGCACCAUGUGUCUUCAAG
RNAcentral lists this long non-coding RNA (470 nucleotides) under Meriones unguiculatus (Mongolian gerbil). RNAcentral's name for it is "lncRNA (ENSMUGG00000024490.1)". The record is from RNAcentral. Lineage: Eukaryota; Metazoa; Chordata; Mammalia; Rodentia; Muridae.